Non-coding RNA from Callithrix jacchus (white-tufted-ear marmoset), 1509 nucleotides. The record is from RefSeq and is a predicted model, not a curated record. NCBI's taxonomy places the organism in Eukaryota, Metazoa, Chordata, Mammalia, Primates, Cebidae.
AUGUCUCAAAAGCAGAUGAAGGAAGCUUUUGUCAGUAACCUCAAUGGAACCACCAUGCUGGAAAUCGCCCAGGGAUUGUGCUUUCCUGCAUUCUGUAUCCUGUGCAGAGGAUUCCUGAUCAUUUUCUCACAGCACAUAAGUUCUUUUUCACAUACCUGGAAAACUAGAUUCUUCAUUGACUUUGUUGUCCUAAUAGUUCCCAUGGUAGCCACUUUGACUAUUUGGGCUUCAUUUAUUCUCCUCGAGCUUCUCACUGUAAUUAUCUUUGGGGCAGGGCUGUUCUAUCAAAUAUACCGAAGGAGGACUUGCCAUGCCAAAGUUCCUUUCCAGAAAAUUCUUGAAAAAUUAUUGAAAUCAACGUAGAAUCAGAAUACAUUACAGCGAUCUCCUGUUUCCAUGUAAUUACCAGUGCAUCUACUGCUAUUGCUAUUUUGGCUGUGGACUUCCCACUUUUUCCCAGAAGAUUUGCCAAAACUGAGCUCUAUGGGACAGGAGCAAUGGCUUUUGGAGUAGGUGGCUUUGUUUUUGGGACUGUAAUGGUUUGUCUAGAGGUCAGGAGGAGAAAAUAUAUGGAAGGGUCCAAAUUGUGUUACUUUACAAACUCAUUGUACUCUGUUUGGCCAUUGGUAUUCCUAGGAAUCGGAUGAUUAGCCAUUAUAAAAUCAAUAGGCUAUCAGGAACAUGUGACUGAGUAUGGAGUUCACUGGAACUUUUUCUUUACCAUAAUAGUUGUGAAAUUGGUAACACCACUGCUUUUGAUUAUUUUCCCCUAAAUAAGUCCUGGUUUACUGCCCUCAGAAUUACCAUAUUACACCAGCUAGCCCUUGACUUUACCCCACUGAAGAGGUUAAUAUUAUAUGGUACUGAUGGUAAUGGUAUACGGGUUGGUCUAUUAAAUGCCAACCGCGAAGGAAUAAUCUCUAUCCUGGGGUAUGUGGCAAUACACAUGGCUGGUGUACAAACAGGGUUAUAUGUGCAUAAGAACAGAUCACAUAUCAAAGACUUAAUAAAAGUAGCCUGUUUUCUUUUUCUGGCAGCUAUUAGCUUCUUUAUAUCUCUUUGUGUAGUUCAAGAAAAUGUAGAAACAGUAUCUCAAAGAAUGGCAAAUUUAGCCUUUUGUAUUUGGAUAAUUGCUUCUAGCCUGAUUGUUCUUAGUAGUUUAUUACUGGGUGAUAUAAUUUUGAGUUUUGCCAAAUUUCUAAAGGCACUCUAGUAACAUGUUCUUGGAAACUUAUCCAGUCACAUGUUACAAAUAAAAAGCAUUCAGAAUCUCUAGUCCCUGAAACUGAAAGAAGGGAACCUAGUCUUUGUUUAAUCACAGCUCUAAACAGAAAACAGUUAAUAUUUUUCUUGCUGUCAAAUAUAACAACUGGCCUGAUUAACUUGAUGGUAGAUACAUUAUACAGCAGUACAUUGUGGGCCUUAUUUGUGGUCAAUCUCUAUAUGUUUUCCAACUGUUUUAUUGUAUUUUCACUGUAUUUGCAAGAUAAGACUAUAAAAUUUUGGUGA